Molecule: transfer RNA, 76 nt
Filed under: Listeria monocytogenes
Lineage: Bacteria; Bacillati; Bacillota; Bacilli; Caryophanales; Listeriaceae
Description: tRNA-Asn
Rfam family: tRNA
About the family: Transfer RNA (tRNA) molecules are approximately 80 nucleotides in length.
Source: RNAcentral
UCCACAGUAGCUCAGUUGGUAGAGCAAUCGGCUGUUAACCGAUCGGUCCCAGGUUCGCCUCAUCCCUCUGGAACCA